This is a non-coding RNA of Prunus avium (sweet cherry), 2234 nucleotides long. The record is from RefSeq and is a predicted model, not a curated record. NCBI's taxonomy places the organism in Eukaryota, Viridiplantae, Streptophyta, Magnoliopsida, Rosales, Rosaceae.
UGAAGUUUACGUUUUUGGCAGAACUGAAGGGAGCUUAAGGGCCAAAAGAAAAGGGUAAAUGAUGAUGACAAUGGAAGGAGUAGCCGUAAAACUUCCAUCCUAUUCAUUCCCAAUCAUACCUUCCCGCUGCUUUACUCGGAACUUCCGACCCUGUUCCAUAUCCGCUUCAACUCUUAAAGAAGCCCACCCGGCGGCCCCGUCUGCUCCACCUGCAUCCCCUUCCCUCGGUCACUUGACCCGACCCGAUUUCCCCAUCCUCCAUCAGGAAGUAAAUGGGUCUAGGCUUGUUUACUUGGACAAUGCUGCAACUUCCCAAAAGCCUACUGCUGUGAUAAGAGCUUUGCAGAAUUACUAUGAGUCUUACAAUUCGAAGGUGCAUCUUGGGAUUCAUUGCUUAAGUUCUCAACUUAGUGCAAGGGCAACAGAAGAAUAUGAACUGGCGAGAAAGAAGGUUUCCCACUUUAUCAAUGCAUCAGACUCCCGAGAAAUUGUUUUUACUAGGAAUGCUACUGAAGCUAUCAAUCUGGUUGCUCACACAUGGGGACUCCAAAAUAUAAAACCAGAUGAUGAGAUCUUACUUACAGUUGCUGAACAUCACAGUGCAAUCGUUCCUUGGCAACUUGUAGCUCAAAAGACAGGCGCUGUUUUGAAAUUUGUGGAAUUAAAUGGGGAUGAAGUUCCAGAUGCGGACAAUUUAAAAGAUAUGCUUUCAAGGAAAACAAAGCUUGUAGUUGUUCAUCAUGUCUCAAAUGUGCUUGGUUAUGUUCAUCCUAUCAAAGAUAUCGUUCUUUGUGCUCAUGAUGUUGGUGCAAAAGUUCUUGUAGAUGCUUGUCAGAGUGUUCCACAUAUGGUGGUUGAUGUACAGAAUCUGAAUGCUGACUUUCUUGUUGCUUCUUCUCACAAGAUGUGUGGGCCCACAGGCGUUGGAUUCUUGUAUGGAAAGAGUGAUCUCUUGUCUGCCAUGCCUCCAUUUUUAGGUGGUGGAGAAAUGAUAUCUGAUGUAUUCCUAGAUCAUUCCACUUAUGCAGAACCUCCAUCUAGGUUUGAGGCUGGAACUCCAGCAAUUGGGGAAGCAAUUGGGUUAGGAGCAGCUAUUGAUUAUUUGUCAGGACUUGGUAUGCAAAAGAUACAUGAUUAUGAGAUAUUUCUUGCUAAAUACCUAUACGAUAGCCUUAGUUCAGUCCCCAAUAUUCACAUUUAUGGUCCUGUCCCCUCAAAUCAUGUCUCCCGUGCUGCUCUUUGUUCUUUCAACAUCGACAAUAUUCACCCUACAGAUCUAGCAACUUAUCUUGACCAACAGCACGGAGUGGCUAUCCGAUCUGGUCACCAUUGUGCCCAACCUCUUCAUCGACAUUUAGGAGUCAGUGCAAGCGCCCGUGCGAGUCUUCACUUCUACAACACCGUAGAGGAUAUUGAUGACUUUAUCCGGGCCCUCGAUGACACAGUCAGCUUCUUUAAUUCUUUCAAGUAGAGAGCCUUGCUAGCCUCCUGUAAAUUGUUUGAACUGGUGUAGUCAAGCUUCUCUCAUGCAGGAGGUAAUUCUGAAGUCCUUUAAAUUGAACCGUUUUAACCCUUGUAGUAUUAUUUUUUGUAUUAGUUUUGACCCUGGAGUUGUAACCAGAGGGGUGUUGGAACGGUUCAACAUGAAAAGUACUACACAAAGACAGAAAAUUACACCUCCACUGUGCCCUUGUUGAUGUGCUCCAAUGUGCUCCAAUGUAAUAAAAGUUCUGUUCUUCCUAUCAAAGAUAUCGUGCUUAAUUUACUAAACCAUAUAGUCCAUAACUAAUUAACUUCUCCCCUUAAAGCAUAUAGUCAAGGAAAGACUGCUGCAAAUCAUCAACCCGCCCAGUCCAAGUUAUGACAACUUCUCUGAAAAUAAUAAUUUUCAUUACUAAACAAGUCAAGCCAAUGGUUGGAAGGAGAUGGCGUCAGUCUCCUAUCAAUGGAAAGAGCACCAUCACUAAAUAAAUUUCACCCCAUGUAAUUCUUUUGAAUAUGCUUCUAACUUAGAUAGAAUCAUCAUUAAAAAUUGUCACUGCAGAGCAGGAUAUGCAUGUCACACAAUGUGGAGGUCAAGAAAUUGUUGAUUAAAAAUUAUCGAGUUCCUGUCUGAUGUGCAAUCAUAUUGCAGAGCAUGUAACUAUCUGAGCAUCACCUGGUUUCUUCUUCUGUGUCUUCAUGACUAUGGACAUGCAAGUUUUGCCUAGACACGGCUUCCGCUCGUAUUUCUC